CUCAGACUGAGCUCCCCUCAUUUCCGGUUCUGAGCGCUCUGCGCUUUUUGUCUUAAGCCUUCUGAGUGGAAAACUGGGAUAGGAGAGACUCUAGAUUUUUCACAGUGAGAACUAGUGGGGCGCACACAGCCUCCAGAAAAACAUACCAUCAGUUGAUUUAGGAUUAUUUUCAUAGGGAAAAAUAAUGGGUGUACCUCCUAAAAACAGCAUGAAAACGCCAUUGAGGCGUCACAAAAGCCCUGAGGUAAGUCCACAGCUUAGUAAGGACGCAGUUUUCUUCCCCUUUAUGAUGGUGAAUUCGGUUGACCAUAUUGAAGUCCAUCAGAAAAGUCAUAAUUAAGAAAAUACGGUUUUACGUAUGUCUAAUAGCACUCUACAAUGUACAUUUUAAAGCCAGCAUUAAUAUAACAAGUACUAUAAAUUCACGUUAUCUUCAGUCUCAGGUACUCUUCAAAGCAAGUUAAAUUCAGAGACAGUAACAUCAACAGGCCCUUUAAAAACCAUUUUUGUGGAAGAAAAAGUGA
Canis lupus familiaris (dog) is the source of this 524-nucleotide long non-coding RNA. RefSeq lists it as uncharacterized. The transcript is spliced from 2 exons. The record is from RefSeq and is a predicted model, not a curated record. NCBI's taxonomy places the organism in Eukaryota, Metazoa, Chordata, Mammalia, Carnivora, Canidae.